AUGCCCAAGAGAAAACAAGAUUUACAAAUAAAUGCUAAAUGCAAACAGAGACACGUCUGGCCCUUUUGAAGCUUUAAAUCUGGAAGUUGUUCAUUUUAGAGCUGAAUUAAUUAACUUCAGUAAGUGAAAAAUAUGAAGGGCAACAAAAUAAUUAGAAUGGAUAGCUGGCCAAUGCCAACAGUUUGCAGUCCUGUGCGACACCUGAAAAGACAAAUUCAACCAAAAUAGUUCAGAUCAGUAUGUACCUCAAUUAUCUUUAGUCAAUUCACUAUAAUAAUAUCAUCUACACAGCCAGCUAACAUAGGUAGCAGCAAUUUGUCAUUGCUGCUAAUGAACAAAAUAAAUUUGAGUUUACAUGCUGGUUAGAGAGAAUUAAGAAAGCAACAAGGAUUUAUAAACCAGUACUUUCUUCACUGGCAUGUGUUCUGUAUGUAUUACUCGCAGGACCAACGUCCUCCUCAGAGGUGAUAGGGUUGAAGCAACAGGAUGAGAGAUCUCAAGCAUGCUACUGAAUGUUGUGCUCUGACAAAACUACAUGGCUUCCUUUAUCAAGACAGCUGUGUUUUUAAAUAAAUAAUAUUAAUUUGGCCUGCAGAAGGAUUACGCCUGAUACUCAAAUGCAUUACCUUGAAAGGUCAACUUGACUUCCUCAAGGAGUUUAAUUCAAGGCGUUCAGGAUGCCAGACCAGAAGGCCUCACAGACUGAGGAAGACUGGGCAAUGGAUUCAUAGGCCAUUUAAGCCACAGAUGCUCAUGGAACCCUUCCUGGAACCUGGCCCUGCAAGGCUUGAUCUUGGUUUUCCUUUUCGACCUUCUUCAGUUCACCCACCGAAAAGAUCUGUAAACUAAAACUUUUACCUUCUGCUAAGUAAGACAACAGCUGUCGCCUUGAUUAAGCUGUAAAUUUGGGUAUUUGCCUUCAGACUGAUGUUUAAGACAGAAUUAACAUGCAGUUUUCUGAAGCAUUGUCACUGCA
Molecule: long non-coding RNA, 976 nt
Filed under: Numida meleagris (helmeted guineafowl)
Lineage: Eukaryota; Metazoa; Chordata; Aves; Galliformes; Numididae
Description: lncRNA (ENSNMEG00000022019.1)
Source: RNAcentral